This 533-nucleotide ribosomal RNA is filed under the name Hansenula anomala. Its description in RNAcentral is "Wickerhamomyces anomalus partial large subunit ribosomal RNA". It matches the Rfam family "Eukaryotic large subunit ribosomal RNA", at positions 88 to 634 of the family's 3401-position model. The record is from RNAcentral. Lineage: Eukaryota; Fungi; Ascomycota; Saccharomycetes; Phaffomycetales; Wickerhamomycetaceae.
GGCGAGUGAAGCGGCAAAAGCUCAAAUUUGAAAUCUAGCACCUUCGGUGUUUGAGUUGUAAUUUGAAGAUGGUAACCUUGGGUUUGGCUCUUGUCUAUGUUCCUUGGAACAGGACGUCAUAGAGGGUGAGAAUCCCGUCUGAUGAGAUGCCCAUUCCUAUGUAAGGUGCUAUCGAAGAGUCGAGUUGUUUGGGAAUGCAGCUCUAAGUGGGUGGUAAAUUCCAUCUAAAGCUAAAUAUUGGCGAGAGACCGAUAGCGAACAAGUACAGUGAUGGAAAGAUGAAAAGAACUUUGAAAAGAGAGUGAAAAAGUACGUGAAAUUGUUGAAAGGGAAGGGCAUUAGAUCAGACUUGGUGUUUUACGAUUAUCUUCUCUUCUUGAGUUGUGCACUCGUAUUUCACUGGGCCAGCAUCGAUUCGGAUGGCAAGAUAAUGGCAGUUGAAUGUGGCUUCACUUCGGUGGAGUGUUAUAGCUUCUGCUGAUAUUGCCUGUCUGGAUCGAGGGCUGCGUCUUUUGACUAGGAUGCUGGCGUAA